GCUGGAUGUGGUGGUGCACGCCUGAAAUCCCAGCAGCAUGGGAGGCUGAGGCAGGAGGAUCGCGAUUUCAAAGCCAGCCUCAGCCAUGCAGCAGGGCCCUGUGCAACUUAGCACGAUCCUGUCUCUU
RNAcentral lists this small RNA (127 nucleotides) under Marmota monax (woodchuck). The record is from RNAcentral. Lineage: Eukaryota; Metazoa; Chordata; Mammalia; Rodentia; Sciuridae.